CCAGACUCCUACGGGAGGCAGCAGUGGGGAAUAUUGCACAAUGGGGGGAACCCUGAUGCAGCGACGCCGCGUGGGUGAAGGAGCACCUCGGUGCGUAAAGCCCUAUCGGCAGGGAAGAAACAGACGGUACCUGACUAAGAAGCCCCGGCUAACUACGUGCCAGCAGCCGCGGUAAUACGUAGGGGGCAAGCGUUAUCCGGAUUUACUGGGUGUAAAGGGAGCGCAGACGGCAGUGCAAGUCUGGAGUGAAAGCCCGGGGCCCAACCCCGGAACUGCUCUGGAAACUGUGCGGCUAGAAUACUGGAGGGGCAGGCGGAAUUCCUAGUGUAGCGGUGAAAUGCGUAGAUAUUAGGAGGAACACCAGUGGCGAAGGCGGCCUGCUGGACAGUAACUGACGUUGAGGCUCGAAAGCGUGGGGAGCAAACAGGAUUAGAUCCCCUGGUA
RNAcentral lists this ribosomal RNA (444 nucleotides) under uncultured bacterium. RNAcentral's name for it is "bacterial SSU rRNA". It matches the Rfam family "Bacterial small subunit ribosomal RNA", at positions 331 to 792 of the family's 1533-position model. The record is from RNAcentral.